GAUGAACGCUGGCGGCGUGCCUAAUACAUGCAAGUCGAGCGAACGGACGAGAAGCUUGCUUCUCUGAUGUUAGCGGCGGACGGGUGAGUAACACGUGGAUAACCUACCUAUAAGACUGGGAUAACUUCGGGAAACCGGAGCUAAUACCGGAUAAUAUUUUGAACCGCAUGGUUCAAAAGUGAAAGACGGUCUUGCUGUCACUUAUAGAUGGAUCCGCGCUGCAUUAGCUAGUUGGUAAGGUAACGGCUUAUCAAGGCAACGAUGCAUAGCCGACCUGAGAGGGUGAUCGGCCACACUGGAACUGAGACACGGUCCAGACUCCUACGGGAGGCAGCAGUAGGGAAUCUUCCGCAAAGGGCGAAAGCCUGACGGAGCAACGCCGCGUGAGUGAUGAAGGUCUUCGGAUCGUAAAACUCUGUUAUUAGGGAAGAACAUAUGUGUAAGUAACUGUGCACAUCUUGACGGUACCUAAUCAGAAAGCCACGGCUAACUACGUG
This 497-nucleotide ribosomal RNA is filed under the name uncultured bacterium. Its description in RNAcentral is "partial 16S ribosomal RNA". It matches the Rfam family "Bacterial small subunit ribosomal RNA", at positions 28 to 507 of the family's 1533-position model. The record is from RNAcentral.